RNAcentral lists this microRNA precursor (84 nucleotides) under Bombyx mori (domestic silkworm). RNAcentral describes it as "mir-2807 microRNA precursor family". It matches the Rfam family "mir-2807 microRNA precursor family". The record is from Rfam by way of RNAcentral. Lineage: Eukaryota; Metazoa; Arthropoda; Insecta; Lepidoptera; Bombycidae.
UUAAUUUAAAUUUGUAUGGAGUUGGAACGUUUGCCUAUGUUUGCCGCUACGGGCACUGUUCCAGCUCCAUACAAAUUUGACUUA